UUGGCACGUUGUUUCUGAAGCAUAGACAUAUACUCAGACCACAGAAGAGGAGACCAAUGGGGAGCAUUGGAAUGAUUUGGUUGCAAGCAUACUACACUACUUGUAAACUGCAGACACAGGCUUAAAAAAAGUGAAAAACUAACCAUGCAAUAAAGAAUGGAAUGAACCAUGAAGCUGUUUCUGUGGCCAGUCAUGUUUUUGAAGCAUAUCCCAUGCUAAUUUCUAGAACAGAAGAAACACACGUGUUCUUGUGUGUAAACCCAGUCCAUGGAAGAGACCGUCUGCUUGUCCCUCCUGAUCUCUGGGCCCAGACAACCAGUAGUCACCAUUCCAAGUGAGGGGUGGCUGCAACUCUACAGCCCCGUUCGUCUCUCCUCACUGUCAAAGCUGCUGAGACCCCAGACUCGACACUUGAAAGAAACCCAUGUCUGUGAAGCACUUGUGGACCAUUCAAGAUUGUGGAAGAAUCACUCAAGAGAAGGAGAUAGGUGAUGGGAUCUAGCUUCUGAUGGUUUCUAUUUUAUUGAAUGUCUAAUAGGGCAAGAAUUUGAAAAACGAGAAUGUUUGCCAUGCAGGAGGACCUGGGAAGGAGAUAACACAUUUACAGGGAGAAAGAUUGGGAUUCAGUUGGGAGGAGUAACUGAGGAAAGGGGUCACUCAAAAUAUUUUGUAUUUUAGGUCCUUUUUCUAUUAAGGAGGAAUGGAUUAUCAAAGCCUUAACAUUAAAUUGUAUUGUGUCAGGUGAAUUGCUAUGGUUUGAAUGUGGUGUGUCCCCCUCCCAAACUCACAUUGAAUUUUUUUUUUUUUUUUUGAGACGGAGUCUCGCUCUGUUGCCCAGGCUGGAGUGCAGUGGUGCGAUCUUGGCUCACUACAAGCUCUGCCUCCCGGGUUCAAGAGAUUCUCCUGCCUCAGCCUCCCGAGUAGCUGGGAUUACAGAUGUUCGUCACCACACCUGGCUAAUUUUUGUAUUUUUAAUAGAGAUGGGGUUUCACUAUGUUGGCUAGGCUGGUCUCAAACUCCCGACAUCAGGUGAUCCACCCACCUCGGCCUCCCAAAGUGCUGGGAUUAGAGGAGUGAGCCACUGCACCCAGCCUCACGUUGAGGUUUAAUUGCCAUUGUAACAGUAUAAAGAUGUGGGACCUUUACGAGGUGAUUAGGCAAUGAGGACUCUGCCCUCAUGAAUGGAUUAAUGCUGUUAUCAUGGGAGUGGAUUCCUUAUAAAGGGACACGUUCAGCACCCCCUUGCUCUCUCUCUCACCUUCCGCCAUAUGAUGAUGGGGCACAAAGGCCAUCAUCAGAUGUUGGCCCCUUGUUCUCGAACUUCCCAACCUCCAGAGCAGUAAAAAAAUAAAUCACUGUUCUUUACAAAUGGCCCAGUCUCAGAUAUUCUGUUACAGCAGUACAAAAUGAACUAAGUCAUGAAACCUAAGAUUUACAUGAUUUACAGCAGUGGUCCGCAACCUUUUGGGC
RNAcentral lists this long non-coding RNA (1470 nucleotides) under Homo sapiens (human). Its description in RNAcentral is "HSALNT0315761". The record is from RNAcentral. Lineage: Eukaryota; Metazoa; Chordata; Mammalia; Primates; Hominidae.